CUAGUGGCGAACGGGUGAGUAACGCGUGAGUAACCUGCCCUGGAGUGGGGGACAACAGUUGGAAACGACUGCUAAUACCGCAUAAGCCCACGGCCCGGCAUCGGGCUGAGGGAAAAGGAUUUAUUCGCUUCAGGAUGGACUCGCGUCCAAUUAGCUAGUUGGUGAGGUAACGGCCCACCAAGGCGACGAUUGGUAGCCGGACUGAGAGGUUGAACGGCCACAUUGGGACUGAGACACGGCCCAG
Molecule: ribosomal RNA, 244 nt
Filed under: uncultured bacterium
Lineage: Bacteria
Description: partial 16S ribosomal RNA
Rfam family: Bacterial small subunit ribosomal RNA
Source: RNAcentral